Molecule: ribosomal RNA, 406 nt
Filed under: uncultured bacterium
Lineage: Bacteria
Description: partial 16S ribosomal RNA
Rfam family: Bacterial small subunit ribosomal RNA
Source: RNAcentral
AUUGAACGCUGGCGGCAGGCCUAACACAUGCAAGUCGAACGAGUGGCGGACGGGUGAGUAAUGUCUGGGAAACUGCCUGAUGGAGGGGGAUAACUACUGGAAACGGUAGCUAAUACCGCAUACCAUCGGAUGUUCCCAGAUGGGAGUAGCUAGUAGGUGGGGUAAAGGCUCACCUAGGCGACGAUCCCUAGCUGGUCUGAGAGUAUGACCAUCAACACGGGAACUGAGACACGGUCCAGACUCCUACGGUAGGCAGCAGUGGGGAAUAUGGCACAAUGGGAGCAAGCCUGAUGCAGACAUGCCGCGUGUAUGAAGAAGGCCGUCGGGUUGUAAAGUACUUUCAGCGGGGAGGCGUUACCCGCAGAAGAAGCACCGGCUAACUCCGUGCCAGCAGCCGCGGUAAUAC